AGGAUGUCAGACUUUACAACAAAGAGAAGAAGCUCCUAACAUGGACUGUUCUCCAUAUGCUGUUGGAAAUGGUGAGGAGGGGACGUUCUUUGGAUCUAAGACGGCUGAUCCAGGCCGUGAAGAAUCCACACCAUCUAUUGACCCUUAUUUAGUUGUUAGACUCAACAGCUUAUAUGAAUCUGGGGCUUCAGAUCACAGCAGACAUAUUUAAUCCAAAGCUGCUGAUCUGUGUGUGUUAAAGGCGCCUCAGUGCAGCAGCUCACAUGCUGAAACACUGUAGAGGAGAACGCAGAGUAACGGAGUGGACAAGCUUGUUAAAUAAUGCUUUUUGCAGAUUCUGAUAGAUCACCAGUCACAUGCAAAAGUUUGAGCACCCCUGGUAUUUUAGGCAUUUUAGGUUUUUUGCGAAAUUUAGUGCACAAUUAUUAGUGCCUUUGCUGAGUUUAACAUAUUGGGCUGAAAAACAUAAAAAAAAUGUGGCAUAACUUUUACACAAAGGUCCAA
Molecule: long non-coding RNA, 504 nt
Organism: Colossoma macropomum (tambaqui)
Lineage: Eukaryota; Metazoa; Chordata; Actinopteri; Characiformes; Serrasalmidae
Exons: 3
Source: RefSeq, a predicted model, not a curated record